AGAUUCCUUCUCUCAAUCACUAAGAAAUACAAGCCAGCCAAACACGUGGUCACUCUCUCACCACACACAGCCUUGGUUUUGAAUCUGUGAUGAGCACUUGGCUCUGCGCACGCCAUCAGAUCAGCUACCAGCAUCCCGCCUCAAGCACCUGGGCUCAGGUUCCAGACGAUUGUACGUGACAUACGGCAGAGUUUUGAGCCCACACACAGACAGUCUUCUAGAUGCCUUCUGAUCAAGUUAGAGAACUCUCAGCUCCUUCUCCAGCACCGUG
Molecule: long non-coding RNA, 271 nt
Organism: Mus musculus (house mouse)
Lineage: Eukaryota; Metazoa; Chordata; Mammalia; Rodentia; Muridae
Product: predicted gene, 52896
Exons: 3
Source: RefSeq, a predicted model, not a curated record